UGGGGAAUAUUGCACAAUGGGCGAAAGCCUGAUGCAGCAACGCCGCGUGAGUGAUGAAGGCCUUCGGGUUGUAAAGCACUUUUGUCCGGAAAGAAAUCCUUGGCUCUAAUACAGUCGGGGGAUGACGGUACCGGAAGAAUAAGCACCGGCUAACUACGUGCCAGCAGCCGCGGUAAUACGUAGGGUGCAAGCGUUAAUCGGAAUUACUGGGCGUAAAGCGUGCGCAGGCGGUUUGCUAAGACCGAUGUGAAAUCCCCGGGCUCAACCUGGGAACUGCAUUGGUGACUGGCAGGCUAGAGUAUGGCAGAGGGGGGUAGAAUUCCACGUGUAGCAGUGAAAUGCGUAGAGAUGUGGAGGAAUACCGAUGGCGAAGGCAGCCCCCUGGGCCAAUACUGACGCUCAUGCACGAAAGCGUGGGGAGCAAACAGGAUUAGAUACCCCUGGUAGUCCACGCCCUAAACGAUGUCAACUAGUUGUUGGGGGAUUCAUUUCCUUAGUAACGUAGCUAACGCGUGAAG
RNAcentral lists this ribosomal RNA (518 nucleotides) under uncultured bacterium. RNAcentral's name for it is "partial 16S ribosomal RNA". It matches the Rfam family "Bacterial small subunit ribosomal RNA", at positions 355 to 864 of the family's 1533-position model. The record is from RNAcentral.